This 224-nucleotide unclassified non-coding RNA is filed under the name uncultured Gammaproteobacteria bacterium. RNAcentral describes it as "contains 16S-23S intergenic spacer region". Lineage: Bacteria; Pseudomonadati; Pseudomonadota; Gammaproteobacteria. The record is from RNAcentral.
UCCGGUUUGUCACCGGCAGUCUCCCUAGAGUCCCCACCAUUACGUGCUGGCAACUAAGGACAAGGGUUGCGCUCGUUACGGGACUUAACCCAACAUCUCACGACACGAGCUGACGACAGCCAUGCAGCACCUGUCACUGGGUUCCCGAAGGCACAGUCCUGUCUCCAGGACCUUCCCAGGAUGUCAAGGGCAGGUAAGGUGGGGAUGACGUUUGCGUAACAGAA